This 492-nucleotide ribosomal RNA is filed under the name uncultured bacterium. RNAcentral's name for it is "partial 16S ribosomal RNA". It matches the Rfam family "Bacterial small subunit ribosomal RNA", at positions 29 to 507 of the family's 1533-position model. The record is from RNAcentral.
AGUGAACGCUGGCGGUAGGCCUAACACAUGCAAGUCGAACGGCAGCACAGUAAGAGCUUGCUCUUACGGGUGGCGAGUGGCGGACGGGUGAGGAAUACAUCGGAAUCUACUUUUUCGUGGGGGAUAACGUAGGGAAACUUACGCUAAUACCGCAUACGACCUACGUGUGAAAGCAGGGGAUCUUCGGACCUUGCGCGAUUGAAUGAGCCGAUGUCGGAUUAGCUAGUUGGCGGGGUAAAGGCCCACCAAGGCGACGAUCCGUAGCUGGUCUGAGAGGAUGAUCAGCCAGACUGGAACUGAGACACGGUCCAGACACCUACGGGGGGACGCAGUGGGGAAUAUUGGACAAAGGGGGAGAGCCUAAUCCAGCCAUACCGCGUGGGUGAAGAAGGCCUUAGGGUUGGAAAGCCAUUUUGUUGGGAAAGAAAAGAAGCAGUUUAAUACCCCGCUGUUAUGACGGUACCCAAAGAAUAAGCACCGGCUAACUUCGUG